CAAAGUGUGGCUAAACUAGUAAAGCAUCUCCCUUACACCGAGAAGAUAUCUGUACAAUUCGGAUCACUUUGA
This 72-nucleotide transfer RNA is filed under the name Chlamydoselachus anguineus (frilled shark). RNAcentral's name for it is "tRNA-Val". It matches the Rfam family "tRNA". Rfam says of the family: Transfer RNA (tRNA) molecules are approximately 80 nucleotides in length. The record is from RNAcentral. Lineage: Eukaryota; Metazoa; Chordata; Chondrichthyes; Hexanchiformes; Chlamydoselachidae.